Jaculus jaculus (lesser Egyptian jerboa) is the source of this 1271-nucleotide long non-coding RNA. RefSeq lists it as uncharacterized. The record is from RefSeq and is a predicted model, not a curated record. Lineage: Eukaryota; Metazoa; Chordata; Mammalia; Rodentia; Dipodidae. The transcript is spliced from 4 exons.
GUCUGCGCGACGUCGUGCGAGCGGCGGCCGCGGGGCCUCGGGAUCAAAAGCAAGCACUAUGGAAGACCCUGAUGACUUGACUUGGUCCUCUGAAGUGACCUCAGAGUGCAGUGAAUUGUCCUGCCCUAAUGAUGAGGAUGUUCUGUUGCUGAUUGAACAACUGCGGAUGGAGUGCAAAGAUCAUGAGAUUAUGGUGUGUGGGAGAAUGUCUGAAUCCAGGGCAGCUCAGUAGCGGAGAAGGGCUCAGAGAGUAGUGUUGCUACCUGUGCCAGGUGUACAGGAUAUAGGUUGACAAGGACACAGCAGCACAGCCACACAGCCGGAUACUGUGAUGAGGAGGCGACGUGCAAGGUGGCUUUGCCCAGAUGGGACAGAUCUGCUCAUGCUUCAUGGGACUCCACGCGGCCAUGAGCCUGCUGCAUAAGCAAAGACAAAACUCGACUCCACUGCAUGUGAAAUGAAUCUUAUGAAGAUCUGAGAUGACUUCAAUGUCAUCAAGUUGUUCUGGGUUCUGGAACAGAGAAUUAUGUCUACUUCGUAGUGGAACUAGCAAGUGGAGGGGAAGUACUGCAUCACAUCCUAGUGGCGGGCUGAAGGGAGGGGGAAGCCUGGAGGUGGUUCAAGAAAAUUGUUUGCACUCUGCUCCACUGUCAAAGCAAUGGCAUUGUGUCCAGAGAUCUUAAGCUGCAGAACAUACUAGUGGAUAGCUGAGGCAACAUGAAGAUCGCUGAAUUUCGAGUGAAGGUCUCAGGAGGACAGAAGCUAUACACAAUUUGUGGAACUGUCCUCUACUGUGCCUCACAAAUGUCCAGGCAACAAAAAAUAGGAUGGGUCGAAAGAGACUAUCUGGAGCCUAGGCGUCAUGCUGUUCUUGGUGGUCACAGGGCUCCUCCUAUGUGAAGUGGACAUGGCACACUAUGUGGCUGUGACCAUUCUCAGAGUCUGUGUGGGAUGACUGAGUGUUAAGAUGGCUCUGUAACUGUGGUCCCUGGAACUUCCUAAAGCUUAAAGUGGGGAGGAAAGCAGAGAGUGGAAGGAGAGCCAGGCACAAGUCAUCCACUUCCUGGUUUCAGUGUUUGGGUGGUAUUGUUCCCACCACUGGGAUUUGGGGGGAUACCGUUCAAUGAAGGAACUCAAGAUGGAGAUGAAUUUGCAAUAUCCCAGUCAAUGCGCAACUGGGCCCAUCCCUUCCAGAUGCCAACUCAAAACACCCAGAGCAGACAGAAGUCACUGCACUCUUACAUGCCAAAUAAAUUCUUUUUAUUAAGUGA